AACAAUAGUGCAACCCAACAGCCAUCCAUUGCGCAUGAGAUCUUCAUUGACAAAAAUCUUUCAGUCGAGCAGAACAGCAGUGAGAGCUCUGGUAAAAUAUUCUAUCGAUUGUUGUUACCAACAUGUCCGUCGUGUUGUGUUGAGUUGUUCUGCGGCGGUUCAGCGAUUGAGCGAGAAAAAAGUUAAUUUAAAGAGCAAAAGAAGGGAAGAAAAAAAUUCAGAAAAAUUCCAAAUAAAUUGGUAGUGAAUGAAAAAUUGAGUAAAAAAGUUUUAUCGAAUUGGUUGCAAUACAAAAUUAUUGUAUUUUCUGUUUUUAUUUUUGUGUUUUUGUCCUCCACAAUACCAGAGUAUAUUGGCCAAAGUGAUUUUUGUGUUGUUUUUUCCGAAUCGAUUGUUGAAUGACAAACGAUUUGGCUGAAUGAAAUAAUAAAAAAAAAACAGUUGAAUAUGAUAUAAUUAUCAUUGCGGUUUAACGGUAUCGCUCAGAUGGUUUACGUCUGAUAUGAUUGAAGUGUUGUGAUUUUCAUUCAUUCCACGGUGAUUCACUGAAAACGGCGCAAUUGAAUGAAUUGCUACAAAUAAACAGAUACACACAUACAGUCCGAAUAAACAAUAAACAAAACCCGCCCGAAACGGGGGAAAAACUCUCAAAAACGGAAAACCAUUAAAGCUUCGUGCGAGUAAAGUUCAAGUUCGCCGCAACUAAAUAAAACGAAAAUCAACGAUUGCGAUUAAUCUAUGUCGAGAUACAGAAGAAACUGUGCACCAACAAAAAAAGUGUAAAUUAUAUCGACGAGACGAUGUAUGAAAUGAUACAAAUCUUCAUGAAACAAUUCGAUUAUUAUUAAAUGUGAAUACUGAGAAAAUAACAAAAACAGUUUUGAAAGUAUCGUUUUUAUUUCGCAUUGAUUUCUCCAUUCGAGUGGUUGUUUUUUUACCAUUCUUGACGCAAAACAAAACAAAGAACUUUCUAAUACCGAGAAGAAGAAAUUGAAACAGAAGAAUAAAUAAUAAACAUUGAAACUGAUCAUCAUUGUUCACCAGUCGCUGAACGUGUCGAAAUAAUAAAAAAAAAAGAAUCGAAUCUAAAAAACUACAUUGUCGUGUCUUGUGUCUUAAACUGUCAUUCCAUUUCGUUUUUUGUGUGCGUUGAAUUGAUGUUGUGUCUAAGAAAAAUGAAUUGGUGAAACGCGCGUGAGGAUAAUCAGCCAAGGGAAGAAAGAGUCGCCUUUCGAAAAGGAAUACACUCUUUAGAUCUUCCAACCAAAAUACGGAAUCCGUGCGAAUUAUCUAGGAAUUUAUAAUAUUUUCAUCGUGGUGCCAGUGUACGAGUGAGCCGAUCUCACCCAGACAACGCCAAUAUGAUAUCAUUAAAUGGAUCAAGAUGCUAUCGGAAAAGCGUUUUGCUCAUCGUUUGUCUAUUCGUAGCCGGCGCAAGCAGCAUAUGGCAGGAGAAUGUUCGGCCGAAACUUUAUGUCGAAUUAGGUUCAGAGGACAUAAUGAAAUUCCAAGGAAAUGACACAGUCGUUGACUACUUUCGAUUGGUGUUGCGUGAUGGAAACAGUUUAUUGGUGGGCGCAAGAAAUACCGUUUACAAUUUGAGCAUAAGCGAUUUCACCGAACAACGGCGCCUGGUUUGGCAUUCACCCGAAAAUGACGUUAAAAUGUGUGUAAUGAAAGGAAAAGACGAUGAAUCGUGUCAGAAUUACGUUCGGAUAUUGGCACAGCCAUCAAACGAUAAGUUAUUGGUGUGCGGCACAAACUCAUUCCGGCCCAUGUGCCAUUUGUAUCAGAUCAAUGCAACCUCAUAUACACUAGAGACUGAAAAAUCUGGACAAGCGAUUGUACCGUACGAUCCGCAACAUAAUUCAACGUCAGUCUAUGUUGACAAUGAACUGUAUUCGGGAACUGUAGCCGAUUUCAGUGGAAGUGAUCCAAUUAUCUAUCGUGAGCCAUUGCAAACCGAACAAUACGACAGCUUAAGUCUGAAUGCGCCAAACUUUGUUAGUUCAAUUACCAAAGGCGAUUUCGUCUACUUCUUCUUCCGGGAAACUGCUGUGGAGUACAUCAAUUGUGGCAAAGCGGUUUUCUCACGUGUGGCACGUGUUUGCAAAUGGGAUAAGGGCGGACCACAUCGAUUUCGGAAUCGUUGGACAUCUUUUUUGAAAUCUCGCUUGAAUUGCUCCGUACCAGGCGAUUUUCCAUUUUAUUUUAAUGAAAUACAAUCUGCCAGUGGAUUGGUUGAAGGUCGUUACGGUCACGUCAAUUCCAAGCUCAUUUACGGAACAUUCACAACACCAACAAAUUCCAUUGCUGGCUCAGCUGUUUGUGCAUUUUCAUUGCAGGAUAUUGCCGACACUUUCGAGGGUAAUUUCAAGGAACAAAAUGGACUCAACUCAAAUUGGUUGCCAGUUAAUAGCGCACAGGUUCCUGAUCCUCGGCCAGGAUCAUGCCACAAUGACUCACGAACACUGCCCGACGCAACAUUGAAUUUUAUCAAAACACAUUCACUCAUGGACGAAAAUGUGCCGGCAUUCUUCGGUCAACCGAUUUUAAUACGGACAAGCACAAUAUACCGAUUUACGCAAAUUGCUGUUGACCCACAAAUAAAAACACCCGGUGGCAAGACCUACGACGUUAUAUUCAUCGGCACUGAUCAUGGAAAAAUUAUCAAAGCCGUUAAUGCUGAGUCGGCCGAUUCGAACAAAAAAGUCAACUCGGUGGUAAUCGAAGAAUUGGACGUUUUGCCAACCAAUGAACCGAUACGAAACCUGGAAAUUAUUCGAACCACACAAUAUGAGCAACCAAAGGAUGGCAACUAUGAUGAUGGCAGAUUAAUCAUUGUGACGGAUAGCCAAGUGAUGGCCAUCAAACUACAUCGCUGCAACAGCGAAAAGAUAACGAGCUGCAGUGAAUGUUUGGCACUGCAAGAUCCAUACUGUGCAUGGGAUCGACUGGCUGGCAAAUGUCGUUCGCAUGGUGCACCACGUUGGCAUGAGGAGACGCAUUUCUAUCAAAAUGUUGCGACUGGACUGCAUGCCGCUUGCCCGUCUGGCAAGAUGUCAUCGAAAGAUGCAAAUGCCAAUGAAAUCAAAGGUUAUCGCAGUGAUAUGGGCGGAUUGCUGGACUCGCAUCGUUCGAUGAAAGAUUCCAGCGGUGAAGUGAUCAAUAUUAUGCAAGAGAAAAAUUUCGAUGGCACUGGCAAUGGGAAUGGGCCACAAAUUGCCGACAUUGUAACCGCUCAAUAUUCCGUUGAAACGGUUGUUAUGGCCGUAUUGGCCGGCGGCAUUUUUGCACUGCUCGUUGGAUUCAUCACCGGUUACUUCUGCGGCCGACGAUGCCACAAAGACGAAGAUGAUAAUCUACCCUAUCCAGACACCGAAUACGAAUACUUUGAACAACGCCAAAAUAUCAAUCGCAUUCAAGCCGAACCGAAAUUAUUGCCACAAGUUGAAGAGGUCACGUAUGCGGAACCGGUGUUGCUGCAGCCAGCACCAAGCCAGAAUAAAAUCCAUUCACCGAAGAAUACAUUACGAAAACCACCACCACCAAUGCAUCAUCAUGGAGGCGGCCCCAACUCCGAAUCACUAUUUCAAUUCCAACCAGAUGGAUAUAAUACACGCGAUACGUACCGCGGCCGAGACAAUUUCGGUACACUAAGAUCGCAUCAGACUCUGCAAGGCGAUAACUACCGACGUGGCGACGGAUUCUCAACAACACGAAGCGUUAAGAAAGUAUAUCUUUGAGACGCGAGUGGGGCGGCUGACACUAGUCAGGGAUUAAUUAAUCAAAAUAUGGGUUUAAACACAAACACACGAAACAGAAGUCUUGGUCGAAUGAGACGACAGCCGCCCCGGCAUGGUAUUGUAAAUCAACAUCGUUCCGACAGUCCACAUAAUUCGAGCUCUGGUUCAUCGCCAUCGAUGUCACACAGUAGCUCAUCACCAGCACCACCAUCCAGUCCCAGUCCACAAGAAAGUCCCAAAAACUGCAGCUACAUCUAUCGAGAUUGAUUGUCCGCUACUUCAAAGUCAAUGUCAAUGUUACCAUUACGACGAUCCGAUCCGAAUCUUCCAUCAACAUCAACCGCUGCCAUCGAACGUGAGCACAACAUCUACGCAUCACCGUAUAAUCCAGACAACAGCAACCAACAAUCAGCCCAACAGCACAGCAACCGUAAAAAGCAUAUUCAUCGUCGUCAUCGCAAACAUGAAAACGCACAACAACAACAGCAACCGCCACAGUAUCAUCAUCAAAUGGACACCGCAUCAAUGCAAUAUCCGGAUGACGACGAUUUGUUCUUAAGCUCGGGUACAAUUGCAUCCAAUUUGUUAACAUCGUUGAAGCAACCAUCCAAAAUGACAUUCAAUUGGUCGCGUCAAUUCAAUGAAACGCUAGCCACCAUCAGUGGUUUGCUACAGCGAAACUUCCAAGAAAAUCCCUAUCCCGGUUGCAAUGUUUCCGAAGCAUCUGCAUCUACGGCAACAUUGGGUAGUUCCACCGCCAUUGAUUCAACGGCUAAAUGCCAAACGGACAAAUGGCAAAAACGGCGUCGCAACAGUCUAACUGGCGAUCCAAGGGAACUAGACAUGCUUGUACUGGAACCCGUUAACGGUGAUGACAGUGAUGGCUUUUAAAAACUUGAAAAAAACGGUUCGAUUCGUCGGUUUUGUCACACAGUUCUUCUUCUACUCUUCAAUUGUCUCUAUCUUUCUCUAUAUCUGCAUCACUACACACACUCACACGAACAGAAAUCUAUUUACUCUCCCACAAAAUCUAGAAAUCAUGACUUUACAACAAAAAUAAAGUAUUGAUUUGUAUUUUGAAAUGAAAGCAAAGCGUAGGAAAAGCUAAACAAAAAAAAUGACAAUUAAUCAUUAAAA
Sitodiplosis mosellana (orange wheat blossom midge) is the source of this 4883-nucleotide RNA transcript. It is a transcript of the gene named semaphorin-1A, with no coding region annotated. The record is from RefSeq and is a predicted model, not a curated record. The transcript is spliced from 18 exons. NCBI's taxonomy places the organism in Eukaryota, Metazoa, Arthropoda, Insecta, Diptera, Cecidomyiidae.